This 793-nucleotide ribosomal RNA is filed under the name Streptococcus thermophilus. RNAcentral describes it as "bacterial SSU rRNA". It matches the Rfam family "Bacterial small subunit ribosomal RNA", at positions 1 to 777 of the family's 1533-position model. The record is from RNAcentral. Lineage: Bacteria; Bacillati; Bacillota; Bacilli; Lactobacillales; Streptococcaceae.
AUUAAUGAGAGUUUGAUCCUGGCUCAGGACGAACGCUGGCGGCGUGCCUAAUACAUGCAAGUAGAACGCUGAAGAGAGGAGCUUGCUCUUCUUGGAUGAGUUGCGAACGGGUGAGUAACGCGUAGGUAACCUGCCUUGUAGCGGGGGAUAACUAUUGGAAACGAUAGCUAAUACCGCAUAACAAUGGAUGACACAUGUCAUUUAUUUGAAAGGGGCAAUUGCUCCACUACAAGAUGGACCUGCGUUGUAUUAGCUAGUAGGUGAGGUAAUGGCUCACCUAGGCGACGAUACAUAGCCGACCUGAGAGGGUGAUCGGCCACACUGGGACUGAGACACGGCCCAGACUCCUACGGGAGGCAGCAGUAGGGAAUCUUCGGCAAUGGGGGCAACCCUGACCGAGCAACGCCGCGUGAGUGAAGAAGGUUUUCGGAUCGUAAAGCUCUGUUGUAAGUCAAGAACGGGUGUGAGAGUGGAAAGUUCACACUGUGACGGUAGCUUACCAGAAAGGGACGGCUAACUACGUGCCAGCAGCCGCGGUAAUACGUAGGUCCCGAGCGUUGUCCGGAUUUAUUGGGCGUAAAGCGAGCGCAGGCGGUUUGAUAAGUCUGAAGUUAAAGGCUGUGGCUCAACCAUAGUUCGCUUUGGAAACUGUCAAACUUGAGUGCAGAAGGGGAGAGUGGAAUUCCAUGUGUAGCGGUGAAAUGCGUAGAUAUAUGGAGGAACACCGGUGGCGAAAGCGGCUCUCUGGUCUGUAACUGACGCUGAGGCUCGAAAGCGUGGGGAGCGAACAGGA